AUACGGAGGGUGCGAGCGUUAAUCGGAAUUACUGGGCGUAAAGGGUGCGUAGGCGGCUUGAUAAGUCGGAUGUGAAAGCCCCGGGCUUAACCUGGGAAUUGCAUUCGAUACUGUCAGGCUAGAGUAUGUCAGAGGUUGGCGGAAUUCCUGGUGUAGCGGUGAAAUGCGUAGAUAUCAGGAGGAACACCAGUGGCGAAGGCGGCUAACUGGGGCAAUACUGACGCUGAGGCACGAGAGCGUGGGGAGCAAACAGGAUUAGAAACCCGAGUAGUCC
Molecule: ribosomal RNA, 274 nt
Filed under: uncultured bacterium
Lineage: Bacteria
Description: partial 16S ribosomal RNA
Rfam family: Bacterial small subunit ribosomal RNA
Source: RNAcentral